GAUGAACGCUGGCGGCGUGCCUAAUACAUGCAAGUCGAGCGAACGGACGAGAAGCUUGCUUCUCUGAUGUUAGCGGCGGACGGGUGAGUAACACGUGGAUAACCUACCUAUAAGACUGGGAUAACUUCGGGAAACCGGAGCUAAUACCGGAUGAUAUUUUGAACCGCAUGGUUCAAAAGUGAAAGACGGUCUUGCUGUCACUUAUAGAUGGAUCCGCGCUGCAUUAGCUAGUUGGUAAGGUAACGGCUUACCAAGGCAACGAUGCAUAGCCGACCUGAGAGGGUGAUCGGCCACACUGGAACUGAGACACGGUCCAGACUCCUACGGGAGGCAGCAGUAGGGAAUCUUCGGCAAUGGGCGAAAGCCUGACGGAGCAACGCCGCGUGAGUGAUGGAGGUCUUCGGAUCGUAAAACUCUGUUAUUAGGGAAGAACAUAUGUGUAAGUAACUGUGCACAUCUUGACGGUACCUAAUCAGAAAGCCACGGCUAACUACGUG
This 497-nucleotide ribosomal RNA is filed under the name uncultured bacterium. Its description in RNAcentral is "partial 16S ribosomal RNA". It matches the Rfam family "Bacterial small subunit ribosomal RNA", at positions 28 to 507 of the family's 1533-position model. The record is from RNAcentral.